RNAcentral lists this unclassified non-coding RNA (345 nucleotides) under soil metagenome. RNAcentral's name for it is "partial contains 5.8S ribosomal RNA, internal transcribed spacer 2, and large subunit ribosomal RNA". The stretch from base 1 to 120 matches the Rfam family "5.8S ribosomal RNA", at positions 35 to 154 of the family's 154-position model. The record is from RNAcentral.
GAUGAAGAACGCAGUGAAAUGCGAUACGUAAUGUGAAUUGCAGAAUUCAGUGAAUCAUCGAGUCUUUGAACGCACAUUGCGCCCCCUGGUAUUCCGGGGGGCAUGCCUGUCCGAGCGUCAUUGCUGCCCUCAAGCACGGCUUGUGUGUUGGGCCUCCGUCCUCCUCCCGGGGGACGGGCCCGAAAGGCAGCGGCGGCACCGCGUCCGGUCCUCGAGCGUAUGGGGCUUCGUCACCCGCUCUUGUAGGCCCGGCCGGCGCUUGCCGACACAUCAAUCUUUUUUCCAGGUUGACCUCUGAUCAGGUAGGGAUACCCGCUGAACUUAAGCAUAUCAAUAAGCGGAGGA